RNAcentral lists this ribosomal RNA (253 nucleotides) under uncultured bacterium. Its description in RNAcentral is "partial 16S ribosomal RNA". It matches the Rfam family "Bacterial small subunit ribosomal RNA", at positions 524 to 776 of the family's 1533-position model. The record is from RNAcentral.
UACGGGGGGGGCAAGCGUUGUUCGGAAUUACUGGGCGUAAAGGGCCAGUAGGCGGCCAACUAAGUCGGAUGUGAAAUCCCUCGGCUCAACCGGGGAACUGCGUCUGAUACUGGGUGGCUUGAAUCCGGGAGAGGGAUGCGGAAUUCCAGGUGUAGCGGUGAAAUGCGUAGAUAUCUGGAGGAACACCGGUGGCGAAGGCGGCAUCCUGGACCGGCAUUGACGCUGAGGCGCGAAAGCCAGGGGAGCAAACGGG